Molecule: ribosomal RNA, 497 nt
Filed under: uncultured bacterium
Lineage: Bacteria
Description: partial 16S ribosomal RNA
Rfam family: Bacterial small subunit ribosomal RNA
Source: RNAcentral
GAUGAACGCUGGCGGCGUGCCUAAUACAUGCAAGUCGAACGGACGGACGCGAAGCUUGCUUCUCUGAUGUUAGCGGCGGACGGGUGAGUAACGCGUGGAUACCCUACCUAUAAUACUGGUAUAACUUCGGGACACCGUAGCUAAUACCGUAUAAUAUUUUGAACCGCGUGGUUCAAAGGUAAAUGACGGUCUUGCUGUCUCUUCUAGCUGGAUCCGGGCUGCAUGAGCUGGUUGGUAAGUUAACGGCUUACCAAGGCAACGAGGCAUGGCCGAGCUGAGAGAGUGAUCGGCCACACGAGAGCUGGACCACGGUCAAGACUCCUAAGGGAGGCAGCAGUAGGGAAUCUUCCGCAAUGGGCGAAAGCCUGACGGAGCAACGCCGCGUGAGUGAUGAAGGUCCUGGGAUCGUAAAACUCUGUUAUUAGGGAAGAACAGAUGUGGAAGUAACUGUGCACAUCUUGACGGUACUUAAUCAGAAAGCCACGGCUAACUACGUG